CAUGCAAGUCUUGGGAGAAAGAGGUAGCAAUAUCUUAAGUAAACCGGCGCAAGGGUGAGUAACACGUAGGUAACCUACCCAGAGGAUGGGAAUAACUUCGAGAAAUCGAGGCUAAUGCCCAAUAAUAUUCUAAUGCGACAUCGCAAUGGAAUCAAAGCCGAAAGGUACCUGUGGAUGAGCCUGCGUCCCAUUAGGUAGUUGGUGAGGUAAUGGCCCACCAAGCCGACGAUGGGUAGCUGGUCUGAGAGGACGAUCAGCCACACUGGAACUGAGACACGGUCCAGACUCCUACGGGAGGCAGCAGUGAGGAAUAUUGCGCAAUGCCCGAAAGGGUGACGCAGCGACGCCGCGUGGAGGAUGAAGGCUCUAUGGGUCGUAAACUCCUUUUAUAAGGGAAUAAUAUCUUAUUAUAUAUAGGAU
This 420-nucleotide ribosomal RNA is filed under the name uncultured bacterium. RNAcentral's name for it is "bacterial SSU rRNA". It matches the Rfam family "Bacterial small subunit ribosomal RNA", at positions 54 to 469 of the family's 1533-position model. The record is from RNAcentral.